This 218-nucleotide unclassified non-coding RNA is filed under the name rhizosphere metagenome. Its description in RNAcentral is "partial ribosomal RNA internal transcribed spacer region". The record is from RNAcentral.
GUAGGUGAACCUGCGGAAGGAUCAUUAAUGAGAUCAUGCCCUUCGGGGUAGACCUCCCACCCUUUGUUUACAAUACCUUUGUUGCUUUGGCGGCCCCGUCGCAAGACAACCGGCUCCGGCUGGUCAGCGGCCGCCAGAGGACUCAAAACUCAUAUUAUUAUUGUCGUCUGAGUACUAUAUAAUAGUUAAAACUUUCAACAACGGAUCUCUUGGUUCUG